GUGAGGAAUAUUGGUCAAUGGACGAGAGUCUGAACCAGCCAAGUCGCGUGAAGGAAGACGGUUCUAUGAAUUGUAAACUUCUUUUGUGCAGGAAUAAAGUGGGUUACGUGUAACCUUUUGUAUGUACUGUACGAAUAAGGAUCGGCUAACUCCGUGCCAGCAGCCGCGGUAAUACGGAGGCUCCGAGCGUUAUCCGGAUUUAUUGGGUUUAAAGGGUGGGUAGGUGGAUUGGUAAGUCAGCGGUGAAUGUUUGCAGCUUAACUGUAAAAUUGCCGUUGAAACUGUCGGUCUUGAGUGCAAAUGAGGUAGGCGGAAUGUGUUGUGUAGCGGUGAAAUGCUUAGAUAUAACACAGAACUCCGAUUGCGAAGGCAGCUUACUGGGAUGCAACUGACACUGAUGCACGAAAGCGUGGGUAUCAAACAGGAUUAGAAACCCGUGUAGUCC
This 445-nucleotide ribosomal RNA is filed under the name uncultured bacterium. Its description in RNAcentral is "partial 16S ribosomal RNA". It matches the Rfam family "Bacterial small subunit ribosomal RNA", at positions 354 to 796 of the family's 1533-position model. The record is from RNAcentral.